UGAGGAAUUUUGCGCAAUGGGGGAAACCCUGACGCAGCAACGCCGCGUGGGCGAUGAAGGCCUUCGGGUCGUAAAGCCCUGUCGGGCGGGAAGAACGCUCUUGGUCGAAAGACUGGGGGGUGACGGUACCGCCAGAGGAAGCACCGGCUAACUCCGUGCCAGCAGCCGCGGUAAUACGGAGGGUGCAAGCGUUAUUCGGAAUUACUGGGCGGAAAGGGCGUGCAGGCGGGAGAGCAAGUCUGAUGUGAAAGCCCGGGGCUUAACCCCGGAAUGGCAUUGGAAACUG
Molecule: ribosomal RNA, 286 nt
Filed under: uncultured prokaryote
Description: partial 16S ribosomal RNA
Rfam family: Bacterial small subunit ribosomal RNA
Source: RNAcentral